AUAUAAUAUAUUAUGGUAAUGGCUGUAUUAAAUUUUAAUUUGUUUUUGUAAUUUUUAGACUGUGCUACCCCAUUGUGGUUCCAGGAUAAAGACUGAGCUAGAUAUUCAUGGCAGUCAUCGUUAUUGGAUUUAUUGCACCGACUGUGCUACCCCAUUGUGGUUCCAGGAUAACGACUGAGCUAGAGAUUCAUGGCAGUCAUCGUUAUUGGAUUUAUUGCACCGACGGUAUCUGUUGUGCCACUAUAACUAAGCUAGAGAUUGAUGGCAGUCAUCGCUAUUAAAUUUAUUACAAAGGAGUUUGGUGUAUCCUGAAGAAUGCUUCAAUAAUGGAUCGGCCUGUUGGCCAAAAGUGGUGGUUCUAAUGGAUAACGGAUUUAUUACGCGGAUCCUGGGAACUGCUUCGAUAUUGGCUCGGCCUGCCAAUCAGAUGAUUCUCUUUUGGAGCUCAUCGAAAACGCCAGUAGACUUCUAUCAACCGUACUUCGAUAUUAUCUUUUUUAGUAGACCAUUUCGAUGUCACUCCCCCUCAGUAGUAACAAUUAACAUGUAUUUUUAUUGUUCCCUGCGUGGAAAAUUACAUUGAAAUUUUUUAACGCUCAUUAUUUCAGUAUGGAAAAACACAUUAAAAUCGAAGUCGAUAAUUUAAAAUAUUUUUAAUGUCAAAUAAUUAACUCACAAAUGCAUCAUUGAUCAAACUAUUAAAUUAAAAAAUAUUUACGCUUGAUUUCGAGUCUUUGAUUUCUCUAGAGUAAAUACCAUUGCCGUACAACACUGAGGUAUUUUAUCAAUCCCCAAUCCGAAAAGAUUUUGUUUACAUCGAGUUUGUAAUGUUAACAACGAAAACAUUUAACAGCGAGACAAAUAAUAUCUCGCCUGUAAAUAUAUUUUUUUCUCUCAUAUAUGUCAACCGUGAUUUUCUUUUUGUUGUGUUCUACAUUUCUACAAUGAUUUCUGCACUUGCCAUAAGCAUAUAUAAAUAUAUAUAUAUAUAUAUAUCGUUUUGUAUUUUUAUAUAUAUUUUCUUUGAACUAUUUUUUUUUUUUUAAUUGCUCCGAGCAAUUAUUCCAUACCAUUACGUGUGCUUAUUCAUGCAAUCAAAAUAAAUUAAUAAUAAUCAUGAAUAUCAAUUUUUUACCACAUUAUUUAACUAUUUAGACUAAUCAUUUCACCUAAGGUACACACACACACGUUAGGAUUAUCUCAUUCGAUAUUUCGCUUACAGUUUAUUUUCGCGUAUUCGAUAUAUUCUAUAUAAUUUUUUUUUUUUUUUUCAACUUACAAAUAAAAUUCAUCUUAUGUAAUAUAGUCGAGCGAAAGUCGUGUGCUGUACAUGUCGACCUGUUCCUUUAUCAUACGGUUUAAACGGACUCUAACCAUUUUUGAUUUAUCUUAUUUUAAAGAAGGACCCAUUUAACUGUUAACCAUUGUAAUAUGUUGCAUAAUUAUUGUAUAAUCUUUUGUGAAACUUUUUUUUCUAAUUAUACCGUUAUUCAAUUGACAUUUUACUACCCCCAUUCACAAUCGUCGAACACUGUAAUUAUUAUUCUAUAUGAUAACAUGAAAAUAAAUCAACAACACGUUUUUAA
Molecule: long non-coding RNA, 1586 nt
Organism: Daktulosphaira vitifoliae (grape phylloxera)
Lineage: Eukaryota; Metazoa; Arthropoda; Insecta; Hemiptera; Phylloxeridae
Exons: 5
Source: RefSeq, a predicted model, not a curated record